Molecule: ribosomal RNA, 253 nt
Filed under: uncultured bacterium
Lineage: Bacteria
Description: partial 16S ribosomal RNA
Rfam family: Bacterial small subunit ribosomal RNA
Source: RNAcentral
UACGUAGGUGGCAAGCGUUGUCCGGAUUUAUUGGGUUUAAAGGGUGCGUAGGCGGCCCUGUAAGUCAGUGCUGAAAUAUCCCAGCUUAACUGGGAGGGUGGCAUUGAUACUGCGGGGCUAGAGUACAGAUGAGGUAGGCGGAAUUGAUUGUGUAGCGGUGAAAUGCAUAGAUACAAUCAAGAACACCGAUUGCGUAGGCAGCUUACUAGGCUGUAACUGACGCUGAGGCACGAAAGCGUGGGGAGCGAACAGG